This 297-nucleotide ribosomal RNA is filed under the name Gambierdiscus sp. RNAcentral describes it as "partial 18S ribosomal RNA". It matches the Rfam family "Eukaryotic small subunit ribosomal RNA", at positions 1489 to 1785 of the family's 1831-position model. Lineage: Eukaryota; Dinophyceae; Gonyaulacales; Pyrocystaceae. The record is from RNAcentral.
GCACGCGUGCUACACUGAUGCACCCACUGAGCGCCUCAUCUUGCCUGAAGUGGCUGGGCAAUCUUUGGAAUGUGCACCGUGAUGGGGAUGGAUCAUUGCAAUUAUUGCUUCUCAACGAGGAAUUCCUAGUAAAUGUGAGUCAUCAACUUGCACUGAUUACGUCCCUGCCCUUUGUACACACCGCCCGUCGCUCCUACCGAUUGAGUGGUCCGGUGAACAGUUUGGCCCCGUUGUGGCAUUCAGUUCCUGAGAAGAUCUUCAAGAAAUUCAGUGAACCUUAUCACUUAGAGGAAGGAG